GGCUCAGGAUGAACGCUAGCGGCAGGCUUAACACAUGCAAGUCGAGGGCAGCAUGAUGAAACUUUCGGGUUUCAUUGAUGGCGACCGGCGCAAGGGUGCGUAACGCGUGAGCAACUUGCCCUUAUCAGGGGGGAUAACCGGUGGAAACGCCGACUAAUACCCCAUAGCAUCACUUUAAGGCAUCUUUUAGUGAUUAAAGAAUUUCGGAUAAGGAUAGGCUCGCGUGACAUUAGCUAGAUGGCGGGGUAACGGCCCACCAUGGCGACGAUGUCUAGGGGUUCUGAGAGGAAGGUCCCCCCACACUGGAACUGAGACACGGUCCAGACUCCUACGGGAGGCAGCAGUGAGGAAUAUUGGUCAAUGGCCGAGAGGCUGAACCAGCCAUGCCGCGUGAAGGUCACGGCCCUAUGGGUCUUAAACUUCUUUUGUAAGGGAGCAAUAAGGUUCACGUGUGGACUGAUGAGAGUACCUUACGAAUAAGCAUCGGCUAACUCCGUG
This 498-nucleotide ribosomal RNA is filed under the name uncultured bacterium. RNAcentral's name for it is "bacterial SSU rRNA". It matches the Rfam family "Bacterial small subunit ribosomal RNA", at positions 21 to 507 of the family's 1533-position model. The record is from RNAcentral.